RNAcentral lists this ribosomal RNA (321 nucleotides) under uncultured Glomeromycotina. Its description in RNAcentral is "SSU rRNA". It matches the Rfam family "Eukaryotic small subunit ribosomal RNA", at positions 569 to 894 of the family's 1831-position model. The record is from RNAcentral. Lineage: Eukaryota; Fungi; Glomeromycota.
AGCAGCCGCGGUAAUUCCAGCUCCAAUAGCGUAUAUUAAAGUUGUUGCAGUUAAAAAGCUCGUAGUUGAAUUUCAGGCCUGGCUGGACGGUCCGCCCUUCGGGUGAGUACUGUCUGUGGUCGGGUCCUACCUUCUGGCGAAGCGUCAUGGCCUUAACCGGCCGUGGCGGGGAACCAGGACUUUUACUGUGAAAAAAUUGAGUGUUCAAAGCAGGCAAAUCGCUUGGAUACAUUAGCAUGGAAUAAUGGAAUAGGACAAUGGUUCUAUUUGUUGGUUUCUAGGACCGUUGUAAUGAUUAAUAGGGAUAGUUGGGGGCAGUUA